This 1038-nucleotide ribosomal RNA is filed under the name Triticum aestivum (bread wheat). Its description in RNAcentral is "partial small subunit ribosomal RNA". Lineage: Eukaryota; Viridiplantae; Streptophyta; Magnoliopsida; Poales; Poaceae. The record is from RNAcentral.
AUGCCAAUGCCGCUGCCCGCCGUGGGCACGGGCCCCGCGUCGGCGAUAGCUCCGGUCACCGCCGCGGCGCCCCUUAGAUAUCGUCCCAUACGACUCCGCGCAUCUCCGUCGACGGUUUCCUCCCCUUCAACCUCUGCGAUCUCCAGCCCGCCGCCCCCGCCGUCUGCGAGGCAUUCCCGCAAACACCUGGCGGGCAGAGGCCACGCCCCGGCGAGGCCCUCCAAGGACCGUGUCUUCUUCCUCGACGUCAACCCGAUAUGCUUCCGCGGCUCCCAGCGUAGCCUCGGCGCCUUCGCGCGCUGGCUCGCGCUCUUCUUCACGCACGUCAGCCUCCGGGACCCCGUUGUGGCCGUCUUCGACGGGGCAGGUGGGAACGAGUACCGGAGGCGGCUGCUGCCGUCCUACAAAGCGCACCGGACUCGCGGCGUAGGCACCGGUGCCGAUUCCCGCGUGGUUGACGUGCUCUGCGAGUGCAAUGUUCCGAUUGUGCAAGUCGAUGGAUACGAGGCAGAUGAUGUAGUGGCUACCUUGACAAAGCAAGUAUUACAGAAAGGUUAUAGAGUUGUCAUUGCCUCGCCUGACAAGGACUUCAAGCAGUUGAUAUCUGAAGAUGUUCAGUUAGUUAUGCCCAUUCCUGAGAUUGGCCGAUGGUCCUUUUAUACGCUGAGGCAUUAUGUUGCACAAUACAAGUGUGAUCCAACUGUAGAUUUGAGCCUCAGAUGCUUUAUGGGUGAUGAAGCAGAUGGUGUUCCGGGAAUCCAGCAUCUGGCUCCUGGUUUUGGUCGCAAGACUGCGGUGAAACUACUGAACAAACAUGGUUCAUUAGAAAACCUACUUAAUACAGCUGCAGUUAGAACUGUAGGCAAGGAGUAUGCCCAGGAUGUUUUAGUCAAGCAUGCAGAUUACUUGCGAAAAAACUAUGAAAUUCUCAGUUUGAGGAGGGAUGUAAAUGUUCAGCUUGAUGACAGAUGGUUAUCCACAAGGGACACUUGUAAUGACACCAGUGUGUUAUCUGACUUCAUCACUAAAUUCAACUAA